This is a long non-coding RNA of Mus musculus (house mouse), 1807 nucleotides long. RefSeq annotates it as predicted gene, 34563. NCBI's taxonomy places the organism in Eukaryota, Metazoa, Chordata, Mammalia, Rodentia, Muridae. The record is from RefSeq and is a predicted model, not a curated record. The transcript has 3 exons.
GCGUUUUCACCCCACUCCUUUGGUGAUUAUUCUUACUGAAGUGAGUUUCAAAACAGGAACACAAGUACAUAUUUUAUACAUGGCCACUGUGUCACACAUGACUCAAUGAUCAUUUCCAUUCUCAUUUCUGCCAUGACUGCUCUCACGUAGGAGGGGCCAGAAGGCUCUCGUAGGGAUGAGUCUUGUGGUUCUCCCUCUCCUUCACGGUCUCUGUGUUCCCCUCUUUUUACCCUCCUCCAUGCCUUCGACCUCCCCAUACCAUGUGUAGAUGCUGUGGGACAGGGGAUGGACGAUGGUACUGACCCUCCUGGAUCUGGAGCUUAGUCACUGAGGGAGGUGAUCUCACCCGUGACCCAUUCAUUAGCUUCUCACCCUCUUGACUCCAGGUGUAGCUGCUCAGAUGACCCACGUAAAACCUUAACAAGACCAGUUAAAGUUGCUGAGUCAGGUUUCUGAUCCCUAAGGCCCCGCUGUGUUCAGAAAAGGAGAUGCCCACUCUGUGGAAGGACAUUCUGAAGAAUAAAUGAGCUGUUGCUCUUCUCUGACAAUUUUGGCAGGAUGAAGGGCAGCUCCACCUGAAGAGCAACCGUAGCUCCAGCGAGGCUGCAUUACAGUGCUUGACCCAUAGGAGGAAACGCUGACGCCUUCGUACUCCACACCUGUCCCAGAGAGGUCCAGUCACUCCAGAGAACGAGGAACGCAGUCUCUUGCUUCUUCUUGUGCCCCAGUGCCCACGAUGUCCUUUCCCACUCUACUUUUAACUUCAUCCCACAUCUGGAGAUAUGCACACAAUUUAGUGGGAGAAAAGUCGACCAAAUAGUAGUUUGUUUGUUUGUUUGUUUGUUUGUUUGUUUUGAGGAGGUAAGAUAAAAAUUAUGUAUAUGUUUGUGUACUUCAGAGAACUCAUUUGAAAAAAAAAUCCUAAGGCACUUUGGAGCAGGAAGGAUUGUGAAUUCUUUUUAUUUUGAUAACUAUAACUAUUUUUCUAAGGAAGAGCUAGAGGUUCAGAAAGAUUGUUAUUUUUCUAACAAACAAAGCACACACCUCACACAUUAUUCUGCUGUUUCCAUCUCCUUAUAGAACAAACUAUAGUUCAUUGAUAUGUCCAUUCACCUGGAGGACACACCCAGAACUUGCUAUGAGUGAGGCUUAGUAUUGACUGCAUGGCUGGGCUAGACAAUAUGCUGUGUUAAAUUAUACAGCUUGAAGUUGUUCAAGCAGUGUCUUAAAGAACCUUUUUGUCCCCUGCCCCCCCCCCCCACGCCCAACAGGUUGACAGCUUUGGCUCUGCACAGUUGAUUCUUACGUGUUCAAUCAUUGCUUCCCCUCAUGGACUCAUAAGAGCUGGCUUUUGUGAGAAUCAGGGCCUCAUAAAGACUGUAUUUUAUAAUAAGAAUUUUUCAGGACAUGGUGGACUUUCAUUUGUUGGCCUCAUAUCUUCCUGUUAAUAGAUUUUUUUUUCUGUAUCAUUCUACCUAUUUUGGUUUUCUAUGGAAAGGCAGAGGAAGCUGCCCUUAGAACACAUAUAACAAUAUUUUGUGUUCUAAGCAAAAAGUAUGUUGAGGCAUUUCGUUCCAACUUAGUCUUUUAUUAGAUAUAAAGAUGUAAUUAAAAAAAUAAUAUACAAGUGUUGGAUAAUAGGUAAACAAAAGAAGUGAUAGUAAAUCAAUGUGUUUUGUUCAGUGUUUGAAGUACUUGGUCCUACUGUGAUUGGUAGUUCAAGUUAUUUGACUACGUGACUACGUACGGGGAGAGAAAGAAGAGAGAGAGAGAGAGAGAGAGAGAGAGAGAGAGAGAGAGAGAGAGA